Molecule: ribosomal RNA, 242 nt
Filed under: uncultured Eubacteriales bacterium
Lineage: Bacteria; Bacillati; Bacillota; Clostridia; Eubacteriales
Description: uncultured Clostridiales bacterium partial 16S ribosomal RNA
Rfam family: Bacterial small subunit ribosomal RNA
Source: RNAcentral
UACGUAAGGACCGAGCGUUGUCCGGAAUCAUUGGGCGUAAAGGGUACGUAGGCGGCUAGAAAAGUUAGAAGUCAAAGGCUAUAGCUCAACUAUAGUAAGCUUCUAAAACUAUUUAGCUUGAGAAAUGGAAGGGAAAGUGGAAUUCCUAGUGUAGCGGUGGAAUGCGCAGAUAUUAGGAAGAAUACCGGUGGCGAAGGCGACUUUCUGGCCAUUAUCUGACGCUGAGGUACGAAAGCGUGGGU